AACGCGAAGAACCUUACCUGGGUUUGACAUGGAUCGGGAGUGCUCAGAGAUGGGUGUGCCUCUUUUGGGGUCGGUUCACAGGUGGUGCAUGGCUGUCGUCAGCUCGUGUCGUGAGAUGUUGGGUUAAGUCCCGCAACGAGCGCAACCCUUGUUCACUGUUGCCAGCACGUUAUGGUGGGGACUCAGUGGAGACCGCCGGGGUCAACUCGGAGGAGGGUGGGGAUGACGUCAAGUCAUCAUGCCCCUUAUGUCCAGGGCUUCACGCAUGCUACAAUGGCUGGUACAGAGAGUGGCGAGCCUGUGAGGGUGAGCGAAUCUCGGAAAGCCGGUCUCAGUUCGGAUUGGGGUCUGCAACUCGACCUCAUGAAGUCGGAGUCGCUAGUAAUCGCAGAUCAGCACG
RNAcentral lists this ribosomal RNA (400 nucleotides) under uncultured Propionibacterium sp. RNAcentral's name for it is "bacterial SSU rRNA". It matches the Rfam family "Bacterial small subunit ribosomal RNA", at positions 958 to 1356 of the family's 1533-position model. The record is from RNAcentral. Lineage: Bacteria; Bacillati; Actinomycetota; Actinomycetes; Propionibacteriales; Propionibacteriaceae.